RNAcentral lists this ribosomal RNA (492 nucleotides) under uncultured bacterium. Its description in RNAcentral is "partial 16S ribosomal RNA". It matches the Rfam family "Bacterial small subunit ribosomal RNA", at positions 29 to 507 of the family's 1533-position model. The record is from RNAcentral.
AGUGAACGCUGGCGGUAGGCCUAACACAUGCAAGUCGAACGGCAGCACAGUAAGAGCUUGCCCUUACGGGUGGCGAGUGGCGGACGGGUGAGGAAUACAUCGGCAUCUACUUUUUCGUGGGGGAUAACGUAGGGAAACUUACGCUAAUACCGCAUACGACCUACGGGUGAAAGCAGGGGAUCUUCGGACCUUGCGCGAUUGAUUGAGCCGAUGUCGGAUUAGCUAGUUGGCGGGGUAAAGGCCCACCAAGGCGACGAUCCGUAGCUGGUCUGAGAGGAUGAUCAGCCACACUGGAACUGAGACACGGUCCAGACUCCUACGGGAGGCAGCAGUGGGGAAUAUUGGACAAUGGGCGCAAGCCUGAUCCAGCCAUACCGCGUGGGUGAAGAAGGCCUUCGGGUUGUAAAGCCCUUUUGUUGGGAAAGAAAAGCAGCAGGUUAAUACCCCGCUGUUCUGACGGUACCCAAAGAAUAAGCACCGGCUAACUUCGUG